CGGACGGGUGAGUAACGCGUGGGUAACCUGCCUUGUGCUGGGGGACAACAGUUAGAAAUGACUGCUAAUACCGCAUAAGCGCACAGUAUCGCAUGAUACAGUGUGAAAAACUCCGGUGGUACAAGAUGGACCCGCGUCUGAUUAGCUAGUUGGUAAGGUAACGGCUUACCAAGGCGACGAUCAGUAGCCGACCUGAGAGGGUGACCGGCCACAUUGGGACUGAGACACGGCCCAA
RNAcentral lists this ribosomal RNA (235 nucleotides) under uncultured bacterium. Its description in RNAcentral is "partial 16S ribosomal RNA". It matches the Rfam family "Bacterial small subunit ribosomal RNA", at positions 99 to 334 of the family's 1533-position model. The record is from RNAcentral.